GCCUGGCUGGCUCAGUCAGUAGAGCAUGAGACUUUUAAUCUCGGGGUCGUGAGUUCAAACCCCAUAUUGGGUG
Lutra lutra (Eurasian river otter) is the source of this 73-nucleotide non-coding RNA. The record is from the annotation of a RefSeq genome assembly. NCBI's taxonomy places the organism in Eukaryota, Metazoa, Chordata, Mammalia, Carnivora, Mustelidae.